Molecule: long non-coding RNA, 408 nt
Organism: Nycticebus coucang (slow loris)
Lineage: Eukaryota; Metazoa; Chordata; Mammalia; Primates; Lorisidae
Exons: 2
Source: RefSeq, a predicted model, not a curated record
GGAGUGAGGAGAGAGAACGUGUUUGCUCAGGAGCACCUCUGUCCACGGUUUCUGCCGCCUCUGUGCCCCUUAUUUGAUGCCACAGGUUUCGGUGACAGAAAGCUGUGCUCAGGGGACAUUGAAUAAACUCUAGCACUACUUCUAAUCUGAAAGGCAACAGUGGGAUGGGCUCCAGCAUCCUGGAAAGGCAAGUCGUAUUCAGUACAAAUCCACUGUGGGAAAGGCUGACACAAACACUUUGCGUUCCGGGAGAGUCCUUCUAAGGCACUCAGCAGAGAGGGCAGGUGUGUGCGCACACACUCACACACACACACACACACACGGGCAGGUUCACACACACAGACACAGAGGCAGGUCCACACACAGACACAGAGGCAGGUCCACACACACACACACACACACGGGCAG